This 1263-nucleotide long non-coding RNA is filed under the name Callithrix jacchus (white-tufted-ear marmoset). RNAcentral describes it as "lncRNA (ENSCJAG00000076397.1)". The record is from RNAcentral. Lineage: Eukaryota; Metazoa; Chordata; Mammalia; Primates; Cebidae.
GCCACUGCACUCCAGCCUGGGUGACAGAGACAGACUCUGUCUCAAAAAAAUAAAUAAAUAACAAAAUAAAUUCAAUGUGUGUGUUUGUGUAUGUAUAUAUAUAAAUUAUUAAAUAUAUACAUAGUUUUCUUAUUAAAAAUACAAAGACGCUACUCUUUUUAUUAUGCUACGUAAAGUUAUGUUUUCUUUUCUUUUCCAAGUCACUGCCUCCCUCUGGGAGACAAUGUUCUACCAUGAGGUCCAGAGAUUGACACUUCUGUGGACUUAAUCUACAUGUCCAAGGAAUUCAAAGGUUGGAAAUACUCUUUCUGGAAUAUACGAUGGGACACUUCUGAGUCCAUUUACUCCUAGAUUGAAAAACUGAAUAUCCUGCAAUAAUAACUAGAAACAAGUUAUCUGUGAAAAUGCUUUGUGAUGUGUGGAUUCAUCUAAUGGAAUGCAACCUGUGUUUUGAUUCACCAGUUGGAAACACUCUUUUUGAGAGUCUAGGAAGGUUGGAAACACUCUUUUUGUAGAAUCUACAAAGGGACGAUUCUAAACCCAUUGAUGCCUAUAGUGGAAAACUGAAUAUUCCAUGAUAAGACUGGAUCAAAGCUAUCUAGGUAAAUUCUUUGAGAUGUUUGGAUUCAUCUUCUAGAAGUGAACCUGUGCUUUGACUCACUAUGUUGGAUACACUCUUUUUAUAGGAUCUAUGAAUGGACAUGAGGCUUACAGUGAAAAACAGAUCAUCCUGUGACAAAUAUGAAAAACAACCUAUCUGUGAACAUGCUUUAUAAUGUGUAGAUUCAUCUCACAGUGUUAUAUCUGUAUUUUGAUUCACUAUGUUGGAAACAAUAUCCUUUUUGUAGGAUAUUGGAACAGAUAUUUCUGAGCUCCUUGAGGCUUUCACUGAACAAUUGAAUAUUCCAUGAUAAAAACUAGGAACAAUCUAUCUGUGAAAAUGCUUUGUGACAUACGGAUUUAUCUCCCAGAAUUGGACCCAUGUUUUGAUUUUUCAGAUUAGAAAUACUCUCUUUGUAGAGUCUACAGUGGGACAUUUCUGAGCCCAUUUAAGCCCUUAAGUGAAAAACCAAAUAUCCCAUGAUAAAAACUAGAAGAAAGCUAUCUGUGAAAAUGCUGUAUGAUGUGUAAAUUUAUCUCACAGAAUGGAACUGUGUUUUGAUUCACCAGUUUAGAAACACUCUUUAUGUAGUAUCUAUGAACAGACAUAUUGAGCUCAUUGAAGCUUAUAGUGAAAAACCAAAUAUCUCUUAAUAAAUACUA